Molecule: ribosomal RNA, 473 nt
Filed under: uncultured bacterium
Lineage: Bacteria
Description: bacterial SSU rRNA
Rfam family: Bacterial small subunit ribosomal RNA
Source: RNAcentral
ACGAACGCUGGCGGUAUGCUUAACACAUGCAAGUCGAACGAGACAAGAUGGAAGUGCUUGCACAGAAAUCUUAGAAAGUGGCGAACGGGUGAGUAACGCGUGGGUAACCUGCCCUAUGGAAAGGAAUAGCCUCGGGAAACUGGGAGUAAUGCCUUAUAAUACAUUGAAGUCGCAUGGCUUUGAUGUUAAACGCUCCGGUGCCAUAGGAUGGACCCGCGUCCCAUUAGCUAGUUGGUGAGAUAACAGCCCACCAAGGCGACGAUGGGUAACCGGUCUGAGAGGGCGAACGGUCACACUGGAACUGAGACACGGUCCAGACUCCUACGGGAGGCAGCAGUGGGGAAUAUUGCGCAAUGGGGGAAACCCUGACGCAGCAAUACCGCGUGAGUGAAGAAGGUUUUCGGAUCGUAAAGCUCUGUUAUUGGGGAAGAAAAAAAGACGGUACCCAAGAAGAAAGUCCCGGCUAACUACGU